RNAcentral lists this long non-coding RNA (1208 nucleotides) under Ananas comosus (pineapple). RNAcentral's name for it is "long non-coding RNA (ACOM_LNC022149)". The record is from RNAcentral. Lineage: Eukaryota; Viridiplantae; Streptophyta; Magnoliopsida; Poales; Bromeliaceae.
AGUGUAUGUGAUGCACACCGGCAAAUUUAUCUGAUAAAAAUGUCAAAAUAAAAUUUUAGAAUCAAAUUUCAUUAAUUAAAUUUAUGUUAUAGUAUUUUAAAUGUCUUAUAUUAAAAUAAAAUAAAAAUUAUUAUAGGAUCUAUGGUACACCAGGUACAACGUAAAUAUAAAUGGGACACAUGUCAACACAGAGAUAUUACCCCACUCACUUUAACACGUGGCAGUAUUGCAACCUCACUUCACGGACUUUAAUUAGAAGAAUAUAUGUAGAACAGAUGCACCCAAGACCCUCCUAUAUAUGAACCAUAUAUAUAUCCACAGUUACCGGUCUAUGGUACACGAGGUGCACCGAAAGGAAUCCGACGACACGUGGCAACAUAGCAAUGUCACUUCGCGGACUUUAGUAUAUAGUAAUAGUAAUAGAUACUUUUAUUACAAUAUUAGUUAUUUUUUAUAUUUGCAAAAUCUAGCAGUGGAUCGACCACCUGCAUAUAUACUACAUACUACGUUUAUUAAUUAAAAAAAAUAAGUAUUUAUAAUUUGACUUUUUACGUAUAUACAUGUCACACUCCAAUAAUUCCACAUCGGAUAUGAAUGGCGAUGCGAUUGGAUAUAUAAGAUAUUAGACACUAGUAAUAAUAACUGAGCUUAAGCAUUUUGGGCCGGUGGUUGGGCCCAACGAGUUAUUGUUGCUAGUGGGUAAGGUCGUUACAUUUGGUAUCAGAGCCAGUUCACCAGCCGAAAAUGUGUGGCGAGUCUCGGCUACGCUAGGGUCUGAAAGAUAAGGUGAUAGGCUAUGCCGGAGUCUGAAUGAUAAGGUGGCCUGCUAUGCCAGAGUCUGAAUGACAAAGCUAGCGAGAUGAGUCUCACAUCGCUUGGUGAUCUUGGGCUAUGUGUGUGAUUGGACUGACGAGGACGUCAGGGCUUUAACGGGGGAAGUAAUCCCACAUCAGAUAUGAGGGUAUAUAAAAGUGAUUUCUGAAAAAGUGAUUUUGGUUUAGAAAAGUGAUUUCUGUUAAAAGCUGUAGAGCGUUUGGCUGAGUCUGAUAGAAAAGUGAUUGUGUUGAAGUGAUUUUAGAAAGCUGUUUGGCAGUGAAAAAGAAAUGGAAUUAAUGCUUCAAAUUGAACAAGAAGUGUGCAAAAAAAAGCAGAUUCUACAAAUGAAAACAAAAAUACAGCAUGUGAGAUGGGCCUCCUCUUCGACCACA